UCUUUAAACCUAAAGAAUUUGGCGGUGUUUUAAUCUAUUUAGAGGAACUUGCCCCGUUAUCGAUAAUCCUCGUUUUAUCUUACUUAAUUUAUUUAGUAUGUAUAUCGCUGUUAUAAGUUUAUUUUAUUAGAAUUUUAAUUUACUUAAAUUUUUAUUUUAAUAUAUUUCAAGUCAAGGUGCAGCUUAUAAUUAAGAGGAGGUGAGUUACAAUAUAUUUAUAUAAAUGGAUUUAUUUUUUAAAAUUUUUAAUGAAGGUGGAUUUAAUAGUAAUUUUGAUUAUAGUGUCAUUUUGAUUUUAGCUCUAAAAUAAGUACACAUCGCCCGUCGCUCUA
Molecule: ribosomal RNA, 332 nt
Filed under: Marmessoidea annulata
Lineage: Eukaryota; Metazoa; Arthropoda; Insecta; Phasmatodea; Lonchodidae
Description: partial small subunit ribosomal RNA
Source: RNAcentral